CUCUGAUCCAGAAAUUAGCAAGCUGCCGUCCGUACUUAAUGCUAAGCAUGUAAUAGCCUUGCUUUGCUCAGAGAGAAACCCAAGAAUGUGCAAUCCAUAAUUAUUGUUGGGGUCUGCAACAGCAUUUAGUGCAGCUAUGUAUAUUUUCCCAUCUCUACCACCAGCAUAGAAGACAUCUUCUCCGGGGUCUAUUGCAAUUGCGUCAAUUAUUGAUGGAAACACAAUGCUUCUCAACAAUUUUCCUCUAGAAAGACUCCAAACCUUGCAAGUUCUAUCUUCUGAAGCAGAUACAAUAAUUGCAUUAGCUCCGCCGUACCCAAUCACAACAUCAGUCACCUUCAAAGAAUGCUCAGAGAAACUAAACUCAUAAGGUUGUCUUGCUUUACCUCUCAACAAGUCAUCAAAUACCAUUAUAAGAGACCAAACUCGAACAGAUCCAUCCUCUGAACCAGAAAUCAGAAGUGAUUGAUCAUCAUUGAAUAACAAGCAAGUAACCGCCCUAUAGUGAGCAUGCCACUUCUUAAGCAGUUUCCCAGUCGCAACCUGCCACAAGUAAAUUUCGCCGGAUGCACCUCCUCCGGCUAUAUAAGUUCCCUCACUAUUGGAAACAAGUGGAUUUAUAGGUUCGGCUGGGAAGCUUUUAACUUCCACUUGAGGCUUGUUCCAUGACCAGUACAGG
Molecule: unclassified non-coding RNA, 679 nt
Filed under: Hevea brasiliensis (rubber tree)
Lineage: Eukaryota; Viridiplantae; Streptophyta; Magnoliopsida; Malpighiales; Euphorbiaceae
Source: RNAcentral